RNAcentral lists this ribosomal RNA (403 nucleotides) under uncultured bacterium. RNAcentral describes it as "partial 16S ribosomal RNA". It matches the Rfam family "Bacterial small subunit ribosomal RNA", at positions 30 to 526 of the family's 1533-position model. The record is from RNAcentral.
AUUGAACGCUGGCGGCAGGCCUAACACAUGCAAGUCGAGCGAGCGGCGGACGGGUGCGUAAUGUAUGGGGACUGCCCGAUAGAGGGGGAUAACUACUGGAAACGGUAGCUAAUACCGCAUUCUAUCGGAUAACACAUAUGGGAUUAGCUAGUAGGUCGGGUAAUGGCUCACCUAGGCGACGAUCCCUAGCUGGUCUGAGAGGAUGAUCAGCCACACUGGGACUGAGACACGGCCCAGACUCCUACGGAGGCAGCAGUGGGGAAUAUUGCACAAUGGGCGAAAGCCUGACGCAGCCAUGCCGCGUGUAUGAAGAAGGCCCUAGGGUUGUAAAGUACUUUCAGUCGGGAGGCGUUACCGACAGAAGAAGCACCGGCUAACUCCGUGCCAGCCGCCGCGGUAAUUC